RNAcentral lists this ribosomal RNA (393 nucleotides) under uncultured bacterium. RNAcentral describes it as "bacterial SSU rRNA". It matches the Rfam family "Bacterial small subunit ribosomal RNA", at positions 28 to 420 of the family's 1533-position model. The record is from RNAcentral.
GACGAACGCUGGCGGCGUGCCUAACACAUGCAAGUCGAACGGGACUCAGGCCUUCGGGACUGAGUUUAGUGGCGAACGGGUGAGUAACGCGUGAGGAACCUGCCUUUCAGUGGGGGACAACAGUUGGAAACGACUGCUAAUACCGCAUAAUACUUUCGAGCGGCAUCGUUUGAAAGUCAAAGAUUUAUUGCUGAAAGAUGGCCUCGCGUCUGAUUAGCUGGUUGGUGAGGUAACGGCCCACCAAGGCGACGAUCAGUAGCCGGUCUGAGAGGAUGAACGGCCACAUUGGGACUGAGAUACGGCCCAGACUCCUACGGGAGGCAGCAGUGGGGAAUAUUGGGCAAUGGGGGAAACCCUGACCCAGCAACGCCGCGUGAAGGAAGAAGGCCCUUC